Molecule: long non-coding RNA, 623 nt
Filed under: Rhinopithecus bieti (black snub-nosed monkey)
Lineage: Eukaryota; Metazoa; Chordata; Mammalia; Primates; Cercopithecidae
Description: lncRNA (ENSRBIG00000045625.1)
Source: RNAcentral
AGGGGAUGUCCUGUUGGUUUCUGAGGUACUGGGUUUCUUGCUGUGUGAACUUUCGAUACACACGUCGGAAAACCUGAAGAGUCCCUUUGCUUUUCCUGGAAUUAUAUAACCAACUACAGUUUCGGAAUAUAUCAAAGCAAGUUCUUAUCAAAUACCUUAUCUCCAGGUUUGCCUUCCACAUAAAAUAUGAGUCACAAUCAGGAUCAAACUAUUGAAGUAAACUUUGUCCACACUGCAGUUUGCUCCUGCAGGACUGUGCUUCAUGUCUCCUCCAAGUCCAAAUCCAACUAGGUCUCUUGGGUUAGGCCAUGGACAGUCCUGAGUUUACUUUGGAGGUCACCCCACAGCACCUGUGUACAUCCAGAAAGAUGUGGAAAAAGAGAAUCAAGAGUGGAAACUGGGAUCAUCAUCUUCCCCUUGGAGAAAUGAGGCAUCAAUGAAAGUACACACUUAAGAAAGACCUGCUGUUCUGAGGUGCAUCCUCCCUGGGACACAUUUUCUGGGGCAGAAGUGACGCUACCCUCAAGCUCAGUGGGCUCACCAUUUUCUUCACCCCUUCUCCAGUCAGAACCAAGGGAACAGAACCAACACUCUGUUCACUCCUGAAAUCUAUGUUAACUCCA